This is a long non-coding RNA of Colossoma macropomum (tambaqui), 501 nucleotides long. RefSeq lists it as uncharacterized. The transcript has 3 exons. The record is from RefSeq and is a predicted model, not a curated record. NCBI's taxonomy places the organism in Eukaryota, Metazoa, Chordata, Actinopteri, Characiformes, Serrasalmidae.
CCUCAUAACAGGAAAUAUGAGACUGAUGUUCCUCUAACUGCAGCAUGACUCGCGUAUCUCUGUCUUUCAGAAUGUCUGCGAGGCUCUUAAUCUGUCUGAUUGUUUGUGUUGGUGAAUCUACAGUCUUCAGUGGAGCAGUUACUCAAAUUGCUCCAGGGGAUGAUGUUUCUUUAAGCUGCCCCUCCAGCACUGGACAGGAUCGUUGGGAAGGACCUCAAUCCAGCAACACAAUGAGAGUCAAUUUAAACAGGACAGAAUAUCUACUUAUAAAAAACUUUCAAGUUCAGAAUAAGGGAGAGUAUGUCUGCCACAGUGACCAUAUAAAAUUUGAACUGAAAGAUGCAUCAUCAAAUGACGAGUCGGUUUUGUUUCGAGCCAGUGAGGGAGAUUCACUCUUCCUCUUCUGCAAAAAUCUGCUCUCUACACCCUUAAGGGCUGCCUGGUACUGGAGACCCCACCAUUCAGAUAAAACUCUCACCCUUGGACUGAACUCUGCUCACU